AACACGCCCUCAUUUCUUUUGUUGAAGAGGGUUUCUCUUCAAACCCUAGCAGCCGUCUGCUCUUCCUCUCUCACAUCACAAAAUUGCCAGUAUUACAGUCAUCCUUGCCCGUUUUGGAUAAGAGCAUUAAUUUCUCUUAUCCUCUCUCCAUUGAUACACCACCGAGAAUAGGUAAAACCUUCAUCUCUCCCUUUCUUUUUUGCUUUUCUGCUCAAACAAGGACAAAACCUUAAUGGUUUUUGUCCAUUUGUUCUCAAUUUCUAUUGGUUUUUGUUGAAUCACAAGGAUUUACAAAGAAAUCCCUCAAAAAAUCAAAGUCCCACAUCGGUUGAAAGCCCUGAGUUGGGGUUUUGGGGUUCUAUAUAAAGAACCCCAUUUUCUACCACGCACUGACACAAGCUUUUACAAGCAAAAAACCUAAGAUUUUGAGUUUGUGACAAAGUGACCGACUAGAAUUGGAACACUUGGUCUAUUUCUCUAAUUUUGGGAUCUAGUUUAAAUUUUUCUUUUGUUUUGUGGUUGAGUACGAGUGUGGAGGAGUUCAAGAUCCCCAAAUCCAUUCUUGACAAAGGCUGCUCUAGGAAGAGGUGAAGUUAAAUUUUCAUUUAAUCUCAAAAAAUCAAACGAGACAGUCAAGAGACAUGGCUAAAUCUCAUCUUCACUGCCCGACUUUUAUUGCUCUCUUGUUUUGCUUCCUCAUUGCAUCAACUGAUAUGCAAAUGGCAGAAGCAUUUGGUUGUAAAAAGCUCAGCCAAACAGUGUUUCUUGAGCAAUGCGUUGAUAGUGAUGGCUGUAACCAUCAAUGCAUCAACUGGAAGCAUGCUCUCUUGUGACUUGGACUGGGGUCGAACCGCUUGCUAUUGCUACUUCUGUAAUUGAUCAUUGUAUUUAGGCAAAAAAUAUUUGCAUUUCCUUAAAUUUGUGAGAUUAAUUAUAAUGUGAAGGAUUUGAUCUUGUCUGCCUUUUGCUACUUCAGCUGAUCCAUAAUCAUCGUAUUUCAGCA
RNA transcript from Lycium barbarum (goji berry), 1003 nucleotides. RefSeq lists it as uncharacterized. NCBI's taxonomy places the organism in Eukaryota, Viridiplantae, Streptophyta, Magnoliopsida, Solanales, Solanaceae. The record is from RefSeq and is a predicted model, not a curated record. The transcript is spliced from 3 exons.